This 508-nucleotide ribosomal RNA is filed under the name uncultured bacterium. Its description in RNAcentral is "partial 16S ribosomal RNA". It matches the Rfam family "Bacterial small subunit ribosomal RNA", at positions 28 to 507 of the family's 1533-position model. The record is from RNAcentral.
GACGAACGCUGGCGGCGUGCCUAAUACAUGCAAGUCGAACGCUUCUUUCCUCCCGAGUGCUUCCACUCAAUUGGAAAGGGGAGUGUCGGACGGGUGAGUAACACGUGGGUAACCUACCCAUCAGAGGGGGAUAACACUCGGUAACAGGUGCUAAUACCGCAUAACAGUUUAUGCCGCAUGGCAUAAGAGUGAAAGGCGCUUUCGGGUGUCGCUGAUGGCUGGACCCGCGGUGCAUUAGCUAGUUGGUGAGGUCACGGCUCACCAAGGUCACGAGGCAUAGCCGACCUGAGAGGGUGAUCGGCUACACUGGGACUGAGACACGGCACAGACACCGACGGGAGGCAGCAGUAGGGAAUCUUCCGCAAUGGACGAAAGUCUGACCGAGCAACGCCGCGUGAGUGAUGAAGGUGUUCGGAUCGGAAAACGCUGUUGUUAGUGAAGAACAAGGGCGUUAGUAACUGAGCAGCUCCUGACGGUAUCUAAACAGAAAGCCACGGCUAACUACGUG